Molecule: microRNA, 17 nt
Filed under: Mus musculus (house mouse)
Lineage: Eukaryota; Metazoa; Chordata; Mammalia; Rodentia; Muridae
Description: miR-Y
Source: RNAcentral
CUGCCUUUGCGUCCUUG